Non-coding RNA from Podarcis lilfordi (Lilford's wall lizard), 70 nucleotides. The record is from the annotation of a GenBank genome assembly. Lineage: Eukaryota; Metazoa; Chordata; Lepidosauria; Squamata; Lacertidae.
GGAUAGCUCAGCUGGUUAGAGCAUGGUGCUGAUAAUGCCAACGUUGCAGGUUCAAUCCCCAUAUGGGACA